This 461-nucleotide ribosomal RNA is filed under the name Streptococcus mitis. Its description in RNAcentral is "bacterial SSU rRNA". It matches the Rfam family "Bacterial small subunit ribosomal RNA", at positions 28 to 472 of the family's 1533-position model. Lineage: Bacteria; Bacillati; Bacillota; Bacilli; Lactobacillales; Streptococcaceae. The record is from RNAcentral.
GACGAACGCUGGCGGCGUGCCUAAUACAUGCAAGUAGAACGCUGAAGGAGGAGCUUGCUUCUCUGGAUGAGUUGCGAACGGGUGAGUAACGCGUAGGUAACCUGCCUGGUAGCGGGGGAUAACUAUUGGAAACGAUAGCUAAUACCGCAUAACAGUAGAUGUUGCAUGACAUUUGCUUAAAAGGUGCAAUUGCACCACUACCAGAUGGACCUGCGUUGUAUUAACUAGUUGGUGGGGUAAGGCUCACCAAGGCGACGAUACAUAGCCGACCUGAGAGGGUGAUCGGCCACACUGGGACUGAGACACGGCCCAGACUCCUACGGGAGGCAGCAGUAGGGAAUCUUCGGCAAUGGACGGAAGUCUGACCGAGCAACCUCCGCGUGAGUGAAGAAGGUUUUCGGAUCGUAAAGCUCUGUUGUAAGAGAAGAACGAGUGUGAGAGUGGAAAGUUCACACGUGUGA